GCUAGUACGUAAAAACAGCUGCAACUCGAUUCACGUGUGUACGUUUUGUGCUCCCCUUUUGGAUGCCAUCUUGUAAUCUCUUCUGUUGAAUCGUAAUCCUUUCAGUUCUGCUCACGUGUUGGCCGAGAGACAAAAGGAAACAUUUCACUCCCAUUCGGAUGCAAGCAGAUCGAGAUAAUCAAGAUACGGGCGUAUGUGUUCCUGGCCACACACCUACACACAGAAGACUUGGUUCGAUGAAGCAGAAUGAAAAAAAAAGACCUCUGGAAUGCUACUGCUGCUGCAAGUGUCAUGUUCUUCAUCAUCGUUGUUAUUAGAUAGCGGGAAAUGGUAACGCAUUGAGUCAACGAUACGUAGGAUAUUUGAUGACGAAUGAUGCGCAACAUCAUCGAUGCUGCACAGCAUUGGUUUUGUCUCGUUUAAUGUUUUUCUGCUGAAUUUUGAAUCAUGUCUGGACAAGUGCGUUGGUCAAAAAUGCAUCACGAAAGACAAUA
This is a long non-coding RNA of Daphnia magna, 494 nucleotides long. RefSeq lists it as uncharacterized. NCBI's taxonomy places the organism in Eukaryota, Metazoa, Arthropoda, Branchiopoda, Diplostraca, Daphniidae. The record is from RefSeq and is a predicted model, not a curated record. The transcript has 2 exons.